CGGGAUGUAGCUCAGCUUGGUAGAGUGCUCGGUUUGGGGCCGAGAUGUCGCAGGUUCGACUCCUGUCAUCCCGA
Molecule: transfer RNA, 74 nt
Filed under: Microbacteriaceae bacterium
Lineage: Bacteria; Bacillati; Actinomycetota; Actinomycetes; Micrococcales; Microbacteriaceae
Also listed under: 10 other names
Description: tRNA-Pro
Rfam family: tRNA
About the family: Transfer RNA (tRNA) molecules are approximately 80 nucleotides in length. Their secondary structure includes four short double-helical elements and three loops (D, anti-codon, and T loops).
Source: RNAcentral